UAAGGAAUAUUGCUCAAUGGGAGAAAUCCUGAAGCAGCAACGCCGCGUGGAGGAUGAAGGGUCUAUGACUUGUAAACUCCUGUAAAGAAGGAAAAAAUUCCCAUUUGAUGGGAGAUGAUGGUACUUCUGGAGUAAGCCCCGGCUAACUACGUGCCAGCAGCCGCGGUAAUACGUAGGGGGCAAGCGUUGUCCGGAUUUACUGGGUGUAAAGGGUGCUCAGGCGGAUUUGUAAGUCAGAGGUGAAAUCUUACAGCUUAACUGUGAAACUGCCUUUGAGACUGCAAGCCUAGAGUAUGGAAGAGAGUGAUGGAAUAUCUGGUGUAGCAGUGAAAUGCGUAGAUAUCAGAUAGAACACCAAUGGCGAAGGCAGACACUUGGUCCAUUACUGACGCUAAAGCACGAAAGCGUGGGUAGCAAACA
RNAcentral lists this ribosomal RNA (420 nucleotides) under uncultured bacterium. RNAcentral's name for it is "bacterial SSU rRNA". It matches the Rfam family "Bacterial small subunit ribosomal RNA", at positions 355 to 774 of the family's 1533-position model. The record is from RNAcentral.